Molecule: long non-coding RNA, 1644 nt
Organism: Glycine soja
Lineage: Eukaryota; Viridiplantae; Streptophyta; Magnoliopsida; Fabales; Fabaceae
Exons: 3
Source: RefSeq, a predicted model, not a curated record
ACACCUGAAGUUUCAGUCCUCACUUCAGCAGCAGUACAAGACAAAACAUUUUCCAACAUUUCACAUUCGACAACAUCUGCAACAAACGGUUUCGCUAGCCGUUGCCGUAACUAGAGGUCUAGCUAUGAUCUCUCCAUGUUCACGGUUAUCCUUUUCCUUUUGGUUUAGGUACUCGCAUUCUGCAAGCACAUGUCAUCGUGGCUUAUACAUGUAUGUUGGAUUAGGAGAAAAAGAUGAUGGCAAGUGUUUUACUACUUUGUUAAGUCAAAAAAUGAUCCUCUUAUGCUUUGGCUAACCAAUGGUCAUGGCUACUCUUCAUUUUCAGGUCUUACCUUUCAAAUAGGUAAUUUUUUAGAUACAUACUUUCUAUGUUAAUUCCUAUAAUAACAAUAACUAGAUUUGGAUUGUAUUUCUAUUACACUUCUAUUUGACCAACUGAUUCCAACAUGUGUGAACUCCUAUAUAGAUUGUAUUACUCAAUCUAAAUUUGAAUUACCCUAUGAUACCUUACUGUAUUACUCAAAAAGUUGUUUUGAAAAAUAAUUUUAUCAAAAAGCUCUUAACUGUAGCCUCAUAAGAAAAAUACUCCCUCUCGAACUAAAUUUGGUGGACUAAAAUAUAAUUAUAAACAAAUUUAAUGUUGUUAUUUCAAAAAUACCCUUAAAUUCAAAUCCGAUUAAGGGUAGUUUAAGAAAUGUGGUUCUUUAUUUUGUAUGAAAUCAAGAAAAUUAAAUGAGCUUAAGUAGCAUUCUUAAUUAGUGUAAAAUUAGGCAUUUUUGCUUAUAUUUUGAAUCUAGAGGGAGUAUUACCUCUGUACAUUUUUACCUGUCCACUUUCGAAGAUAGAACACAAAUUAAUUUGAGAAAUGCAAUUUAUAUCCUGAUAUGACUUCCAAGUCCACUAUCAUUUCUCUCUCAUUUGUGAAGUGUAAAAUAUUUAAGAAUUAGAAUAAUGGCAUAAUUGAAAAGAUAGUAAUUGGUAAUUAAUAUUUUGUUGAACUUUAAAACCGAAAGAUAAGAUAGGAACUAUUUUAUGCAAGUUAUAAAAUAGGAACUAUUUUAUAAAAUUUAUUUCAUGUAAAUUUUCUCCUCAGUAGUACAUGUCAGAAAGACUUAGCCUUCAUUUUAUUUUCCUUAUCCAUCUUUUCUUUACUUAGCUUUGGAGUAUUUUUGGUGUGCUGAGAGGUUAACUUAGUCUGUCUUUGUCCAUUUAUUUUUUACAUGUGUUUAUUGUAACAAUUUGUAGUUUUGACCGUCUUAAAGUGACAAAAGAGAGGCAAGAAUGAAAAGUCAAUUGAUGUGCUUUAAAAAGUUAUACCAUUUUCAGUUGAAAUAUGAAGUUUGAUGUUACACAUGAAAGGUGUGCCUUAGUUUCUUUCAAGAUAAAGCAUAGGUAGGAAGUCUACAUGUUACUUGGAGAGAAACUUUGGUAAGUACAUCUAACUCUAAACUUAUGGAAGGUAUUCAUGUUUUCUUAAUUCUUUUAUAUUUUUUCUAUUAUUUAUGCUCUACUAACAUUAGCAUGUUCUCUGCUUAUAUAUUAUUUCUCUAAUUUCUUAUUCUAAUUUGUGCUUCCUAAUAUAAUAUAAAAUUUCAUGAUAUGUGUUGGAUUAAAGAUGAACUUACUCUUGUUGCAGCCCUAUGG